This is a long non-coding RNA of Apodemus sylvaticus (European woodmouse), 331 nucleotides long. RefSeq lists it as uncharacterized. The record is from RefSeq and is a predicted model, not a curated record. The transcript has 2 exons. NCBI's taxonomy places the organism in Eukaryota, Metazoa, Chordata, Mammalia, Rodentia, Muridae.
CUGAAAUGCUGUAAACCCAGAAAGCUGAACAGGAAGCGAGGAGUUCUCCUGGAGAAGACACCCCGCGGGAUUUUAUGAGCCUCGUUUCGUUUUCCCAGCGCUCUCAGCGGCAGCUUGUACGGUUUCUCUCCCAAGCCCGCGCCGGGUUAUCCAGCUAUCUGCCUCACGCCCUGCAACCCCAGCCGAGAAGCACUGCCUCCUGUACGGUCAAGGAGACCCACGGAGAAACAGAGGGCCACGGUUCCCACGGGGGGCGUGGCUCGGUCAUUACGUCUGUGGUGCAGAUGGAGAGGCAGGUCUCCGACGGCAAUAAUAAUACCUCACUGCAGCA